GAUUGUUGCUCAGUGGUAGAGUGCUCGCCUAGCACUUGUGAGGCUCUGGGCUCGAUCCUCAGCACUACA
This 69-nucleotide transfer RNA is filed under the name Marmota monax (woodchuck). RNAcentral describes it as "tRNA.Ala". Lineage: Eukaryota; Metazoa; Chordata; Mammalia; Rodentia; Sciuridae. The record is from RNAcentral.